GUCACAACGCCGCCUACCACAACCACAACAGAGGGCUUGCGCGUCGUUCCUGACUGCACCGCUGUCCUGCCAACAAUAAGGCCCAUGAGCAACAUGCACUAUCAUAUGGAGGAUAGACUGAGGAAAGACACGCAACCAAAUGUACACUAAUCGGAUGUGCAGGUUGUGAGGAGCUACAUUGACAUACCAUGUAGGAAGAGGAAAUGGCAGCUUGUUUGGCUGCAGAAUCAACCAAUGUUUUCCCAUGUGUCACAGGAUCACAGCACACCUAAUAUAAAUAUAAGAUUACUACAAAUUGUGGCUUAAAUGCAUGAUGUCUUCCCAGAGGUGGUAAGAGACAAAUAUGAAGGCGAGAGAGGCAACUAUGCAUCUGAGGACCACAGGCGAAAGUCAAGACAAGUACUACGCAACAAGCCAGCACUGAGACCCAUGUUUCUGCACCAGGAUGCCUGUAGCACAGUCAUCCCUCUCAUGUCCAUGCAUAUGAAGCGGCUGAAGAUAAUCCGGCAUGCCCCAGGCUCGGGCUCCAGAGAGUAAAGAAACUUGACAGUCACAUGACAGCACAUGCCUGAUAACAGGCCUUCUGCAUCUACUGGGCUCCACCAACAUUGUCUCACUGAAAUAAAUGGAUGAUAACAGCCUGUGAUGUGAUGAUAACACUUAUUCAAGUCAAAGCGGGUGCACCCACACACACAUGCACACACACACUUUUAAAAAGAUGAUUUCAUAUUAAA
Long non-coding RNA from Thunnus maccoyii (southern bluefin tuna), 734 nucleotides. RefSeq lists it as uncharacterized. Lineage: Eukaryota; Metazoa; Chordata; Actinopteri; Scombriformes; Scombridae. The record is from RefSeq and is a predicted model, not a curated record. The transcript is spliced from 5 exons.